UGGGCUUAAAGGGAAGAAGGAGCUGUGAAGGGUGUUAAGCCAGGAUGUCAGGAGCCAUUGGCCUGAGGCUGCAGAGAGAUGAAUUAAGACCUCAUGCUUGCCUAUCAACUUCGUGCUGGGAAGCGAGGCUCUGCUAACAGACAAGCAUCCCCGCCCUUGCCCUGUGCUUGCUGAUGACCCAAAGGGAGGUGGGAGGUUGCUGUAUGAAUGAGCCCACGUGAAAUCUGAGCUGAAGAGGAGGCUCCCUCCUGAGAGGUUAGAAGAAUGUGGAAACAUCCAUCUUACUAGUUACUUGAAAAUGUAUAACUUUUUCCUGCUAUAAAUCUCAUUUUAAUUUUGUGCCUGCAUGAAUUCAUAAAUAUGAUAUGUGUACUAACAGCCUUACACGUUCAGACUCUGAAAAUGAAGAAA
Molecule: non-coding RNA, 411 nt
Organism: Vicugna pacos (alpaca)
Lineage: Eukaryota; Metazoa; Chordata; Mammalia; Artiodactyla; Camelidae
Source: RefSeq, a predicted model, not a curated record